UGCUAUUCCGCAUGUGGAGCACGUCAUGA
RNAcentral lists this non-coding RNA (29 nucleotides) under Rattus norvegicus (Norway rat). Lineage: Eukaryota; Metazoa; Chordata; Mammalia; Rodentia; Muridae. The record is from RNAcentral.